AAGCGAUCGACGGCUGUGAGGCAAUACC
RNAcentral lists this non-coding RNA (28 nucleotides) under Bombyx mori (domestic silkworm). The record is from RNAcentral. Lineage: Eukaryota; Metazoa; Arthropoda; Insecta; Lepidoptera; Bombycidae.